AUUGAACGCUGGCGGCAGGCCUAACACAUGCAAGUCGAGCGGAUGAAGGGAGCUUGCUCCUGGAUUCCGCGGCGGACGGGUGAGUAAUGCCUAUGAAUCUGCCUGGUUUUGGGGGAUAACGUCCGGAAACGGGCGCUACUACCGCAUACGUCCUGCGGGAGCAAGUGGGGGAUCUUCGGACCUCACGCUCUCAGAUGAGUCUAGGUCGGAUUAGCUAGUUGGUGGGGUAAAGGCCUACUAAGGCGACGAUCCGUAACUGGUCUGAGAGGAUGAUCAGUCACACUGGAACGGAGACACGGUCCAGACGCCUACGGGAGGCAGCAGUGGGGAAUAUUGGGCAAUGGGCGAAAGCAUGGUCCAGCCAGGCCGCGUGUGUGAAGAAGGUCUUCGGAUUGUAAAGCACGUUAAGUUGGGAGGAAGGGCAGUAAGUUAAGACCUUGCUGGUUUGACGGUACCAACAGAAUAAGCACCGGCUAACUACGUG
RNAcentral lists this ribosomal RNA (484 nucleotides) under uncultured bacterium. Its description in RNAcentral is "partial 16S ribosomal RNA". It matches the Rfam family "Bacterial small subunit ribosomal RNA", at positions 30 to 507 of the family's 1533-position model. The record is from RNAcentral.